AUGGCCGAGCAUCAGGCAGGCACCAAGAGCCGGCGCUUGGGCUCCAGCCGGCGCAAGGGCUUUGGUGAGGCACCAGCAGCAGCCUCCAGCCCCGGCAAGGAGCCACCGUGGGCAGCUGAAAUGGUGCAGAGGGUGCAGGAGCUGCUCAGGGAGCAGGACAAGGAGCAGGAGGGGCUCAUCACCCGCUCGGACAUACAGAAACUGCGUGAGGAAGAUCUCCCAUGCAGCAGGGAGGAGCUGGAGCUCGUCUUCAAUGGGCUGGAUGCUGCCAGCACCGGGCGGUUGAAAACUGAGGAAUUCACUUUUGGACUCUGUAAGUGCCGGCAGGACACUGCCAAGCUGAUGCUGGACAUGGUCCUAGUGCUGUCCCAGGGGGUACCUGAAACACUGACCCUGCCGAGUGGCAGAGGAUGGCCCAAAAGGUGUCCCCACAUCCAGGUCUCAUCCCAUGGCUCCCCUGGUGAGAGGUCCUCUUGUGCCAGAAUGGCUUCAUCGGAGCCAUGGGGUGGGAAGUGUUGGGAUUUGGGCUUUGCUGUCACCCUGGCACUGAGGGUUUGGGGUCUCUGUUGACAGGGCAGUUCCUGGCCUCCCAGAAAGCUGCCAGGGACCAUCGCCGGCGGAAAACAGCAUCCCGGAGGGUCCCCUUGGUCCUUCCCAGUCCGGCGCUGGAGGUGGACAGUGAGGAGCAGAGGCAGUUCUCUGCCUUUAUGGAGCAGUUGGGCACGGACAACAGCUCUGAGGAGUAAGCCUCUGAUUAGCAUCCAUGGAUGUCCUGCAGGAUGGGCUAGACAGGGAAAGGCUUGGGCAGGAGUGAGGGAGUGAGCCCAGAAAUGACUUGGAGGUGCCUUUGACCCCAGGACAGGAUCAUGCUCACCCCAGUGCUCAUCUGUCCUCCAGGACCAUCCUUAACAGUGUGAGCUAAACCCAUGGCACUGAGGCCUCGUCUCCGCUGUGUGAGCACUUGCAGGGCCGGUGCCUGCAGCCCUGCCCUGGGCAGCCUGUUCCAAUGCCUGAGCACCCUGUGGGGCAGGAAUUGUUCCUCAGCUCCAUCUAAACCUGCCCUGGUGCAGCUUGAGGCCGGUUCCUCUUGUCCCAUCCCUUGUUCUAUCCCUUGGGAGCAGAGCCCAGCCCCUCCUGGCUCCAUCCUCCUGCAGGCACUUGGAGGGAGCCAUCAGGUGCCCCCUGAGCCUUCUCUUCUCCAUCUGAACCCCCAGCUCCCUCAGCCAUUCCCCAUCUCUUGUGCUCCAGGCCCUGCUCCAGCUCCAUUCCCUUCUCUGGCCCCAUCCAGCCCCUCGAGGUCUCUCUUGCAGUGAGGGGC
RNAcentral lists this long non-coding RNA (1318 nucleotides) under Melopsittacus undulatus (budgerigar). RNAcentral's name for it is "lncRNA (ENSMUNG00000021485.1)". The record is from RNAcentral. Lineage: Eukaryota; Metazoa; Chordata; Aves; Psittaciformes; Psittaculidae.